AAUGUUGCGGAAGUGCAUUCGUCAGAUCUCGGAAGAGAAACAAGCAACAUGAAGAAAGAAGCGCAAAAUAAGCCUCUUCCCUCACGAACAUAAGAGAACCGAUGUUUUUUAAAUAAAAAUAUAAAUACAGAUAAGCUCUAAACGGCAGUUUAUGCUUUUACAAAAGAAACCUAAAUAUUUGCCGUGGUAACGAUUAUUGGUGCCUCUUAAUGUUGGCUAGUGAAAAUAUUCCUGCAUAAAAUGAAAAGAAUUUAGUCAUUUUAGAGUUUUGACGAGGUAUAAGUUAAAUGACUUUUGAUUGGUUGUAUGUAAGUAAAGUCGUCUCUGAUUGGUCAAUGGAAAACAUGUGUUUUCAGUAAACAUUAUGCUAUUAAGAAUAAAACCUUUAUCUUUCGCGGUGUGUGUGUAGGGGUCGAGGCUGGUAAAGACAGAAACACAAACCGCAAUGUCGUAUAAUAAUUACAUUAUGCAGAGUGUAACAUGGCAACCUUCGUCGUGUGCGUUGCCCCUCCUUCCCUUUCAUUCAGUCAGAAGGACAAUUUCGCCCUCGAAUUUAAAGCGCGCAGCUUACGCGCACACUGCCGUUGCUGCGAGAAGUUUGCUUGUAUUUGUCGCCUUUGUAAAUUAAGUUUAUAAAGGACAUUAACACGAUAAUGGCCACACCAAAUACUCAUGGUAUGGAAACCAACAGCAGAGGUGGCAUUUUUGAGUGUAUCUGGAGGCCAUUGCUUAGAGUCUGGAGACGUCUGUGCUGCCAUGUUGGACCUGAUGAGCCUGAAAUAAAACUUUCAGUGGAAGAAACGUCACCACUCAAUGGCCAAAGCUCUGUCCGUCCAUGGUGAAGAUCCUGAUGUUGUUUUCUUCACACAGAUGAUCAUUUUUGAUGAAUUGAUGACCAGCAGAAUUGUUGGACCUACAUUUGGAGCCAAGUUUAAAGACUGAGAAGAUUGAUGUACUUCCCCUCAAAUCUGCCUGACGUGUCCGUCCCACCGACAUACUGACAGAAUGUGAUGUGUUCUGGACAAGGUACUUUAUUACUACUGUGCACUCAGGAGAACAAACCAUGCAGAAGCUUUUCAGGGACCGACCUUUGGCUUCAAACCUCUGGACAGCAUGAUCUUCCUUUUUGCCAAAGUGACAAAGACAGUGUUCCCUUUUGGAUCACCUUGAAUGUCCAGAACAUUUGUAUGAGCCAAGAGGGGUUUGAUCUAGUGCACCAAACAGUUGGUUUAGGUCAGUGGAAGCAGGCAUUGGAUCAUCAGCCCCUCAACUUGAAGAUAAUGAAGCACUGUACCAGUGAAGUGUCCUUAAGAUUUAGACAGGUACUGUUGUUUUAAGUGUUAAGUUUUAAUGAGCUUAUGCACACAUCGAUGUGUGAAUGCUUUCACACAGAAAUCAUGAUUUAUCCAUAAGUUCAUACUAGUAUUUUUAGUCAAAUUAGAAAGCAUUUACACCACCUGAGAUCACUCAGAUAUUUGGUUUGUGUGCUCUCAUGUGAGAAUGCACCUCUAGAGAUCGAGGAAAUGUUAUGUAAAUUAUUCCCUGCAGACACACAUUCUCCCAUUCAGAAUAAUCCACAUUAAUCAUCAUAAGGGCUGCAAAACAUCCAUGACAGCUGUUAACCUGUCCAUGUUGGCAAAUGAUCAUGGCUAUGUGGAAUAUAUAAAUCAUUUUAAUAGCACGGCCAUUCGAAACUCGAGGGUCUACCAUGUGCGUAGUAAAGGGAUCACCGACAAUCAUUUUGGGCGGCCACGGGAAUUAAUGUAAACACAGAUAUCGGAUACGAUUUGUGUCUAAAGUAAAUGCAAACAGGCGGGCCAAAAAAUCGGAUAUGGUCAAAAGAUAGGAUCUAUGCAUUAAAGGAUUAGUUCACUUUGAAAUGAAAAUUAGCCCAAGCUUUACUCACCCUAAAGCCAUCCUGGGUGUAUAUUACUUUCUUCUGUCUGAUGAACAUAAUUGGAGAAAUAUUAAUAAAUAUCCUGACGCAUCCGAGCUUUAUAAUGGCAGUGAACAGGACCAAUGAGUAUGAGCUGAAGAAAGUGCCCCCAUCCAAAUCCAUCCAUCCAACUAAUCCUUUAAAACUUGCAGUGUAAAUGCAGCCAAAGACAAAUACUGUUGUGAUACAUUGCUCAUGCUUCUCUACUUGAAUCUCUUAAAGGGAUAAUUCACCCAAAAAUGAAAAUUCUGUCAUUUAUCUUUUGUGUGUUGUGUGUGUAGAACAUACAUAAACUUUAUAUAUUUAACCAUUUUGGUUAUCAUUGACUCACUGUAUGGACCAAAAAAACAUUUACAUUUCUCAAAAUAUACAGAAGAAAGUCAUACAGGUUUGUAAUGACAUUAGGGUGAGAAUGUGACAGAAUUUUGGCUGAACUGUCCCUUUAAGCAGAGGGUCGUCACAUGAGCAUGACCGUUUACAUUCUGUCUCAGGAUUGGAAAUGUAAUUUAUAAUAUGUAGAGAUAAAAUCAUGUAGAUGAUAUGAAGACGUCUUGAUAUAUUUUAUUGUUGAGUAUGAAGAUGUUUUUCUUGCUCUGAACCUUAAUAUCUAAAAGAAUGCCUCCAGUGGGAUUUUAUGGGACACCUGAAGUUCCAAGAGGUAUGUGUUUUCCUCAGGGAUGUUGCAACAAUCACUUGCUCACAUUACACGAGUAUUUAAAGAAGGCAUGCGGGUUAGUGUCUGUCCUGACAAGACAAGGUGUUUUGACUUCUCACAAAGUGCCUACACUGGAAGUUAAUGCCAAACUACAGUAGUCAACAUUUGAAGUGGAUCAAAAAAGUUAAUCAAAGUUGUCCUAAGAACUAAGUUGUCCUAAGAAGGUUUUAAGACAACUUUGAUGAAAGGUUUUGAUCCACUUCAAAUGUUGACUACUAUAAAUCGCUUCCAUUAAAACCAACAAAGCUGUCUGCAGUGCAGAUAAGCAACACUGAAUGCCUAGUCGCUUGCAGUGAUGACAGCGCCACAGUGGACAAUGUUGUUGUGAAACUUACCUUUACAGUAGGAAUAGUGGCUGAUUAAAAUCUAGCCUCUCUCUGUGUCAUCUGGCAGAAGCCUAUUUAACAAAAUUUCACCCAUAGCUUGUCCAGGAUGCAGUCUAUCCUAAAGCAGGGUUUCUCAACUCUCAGCUGAUCAAAUUCAUUAGUUCCAGAUGGGUUUGAUCAGGAUCAGUUGAGAAACCCUGUUUUAAUGGUUCUUGACUGGUGUAAUGGAGGACUGUAGAAUUCUUGGUUUUAGGUCAAUAUAUUGUUAGCACUUAUCCUUUGCUUGCACUUAAACUUGGUUGUGCCUUCUUUUGCUAAUAUUUAUUUAGACAAACUAACAAGCGCUAGUUAAAGGACUGUUUUACAUUAAGUCUUAUUUUAUGAAGUUGCUUAAUAUUUAAGUAUAUUAUUUAUCCAAAAAUAUGUGCAUAAAUGAAAAUACUGUGAUAUCUAUUAAGAAGUUGGUUUGUAUUGUAUGCAGUAUAGUGUUGAUGUUGUUGGUUUUUUUGGGGCGGUCCUUGACAACAUGGAUGAUAUACAGCCUCAAUGUGUUACAUGUUUUGAACAAUAAAGUUAAAUGAUCCAAAUCCA
Ctenopharyngodon idella (grass carp) is the source of this 3568-nucleotide long non-coding RNA. RefSeq lists it as uncharacterized. The transcript has 4 exons. Lineage: Eukaryota; Metazoa; Chordata; Actinopteri; Cypriniformes; Xenocyprididae. The record is from RefSeq and is a predicted model, not a curated record.